UGUCCCUCUUCAAUGAAGCUAUGGGGGGCCCUUUUCACCCUCAGCCAGGGCUGAAGGCCAAGAUCAGACCUGGGAGGGUCAUUGUUGGGGCGGCCACAAGCUUGUUAGUCUCAUUUUUUGACCUUGGACAUGU
Molecule: non-coding RNA, 133 nt
Organism: Erinaceus europaeus (western European hedgehog)
Lineage: Eukaryota; Metazoa; Chordata; Mammalia; Eulipotyphla; Erinaceidae
Source: Rfam